RNAcentral lists this ribosomal RNA (491 nucleotides) under uncultured bacterium. RNAcentral describes it as "partial 16S ribosomal RNA". It matches the Rfam family "Bacterial small subunit ribosomal RNA", at positions 29 to 506 of the family's 1533-position model. The record is from RNAcentral.
AGUGAACGCUGGCGGUAGGCCUAACACAUGCAAGUCGAACGGCAGCACAGUAAGAGCUUGCUCUUACGGGUGGCGAGUGGCGGACGGGUGAGGAAUACAUCGGAAUCUACUUUUUCGUGGGGGAUAACGUAGGGAAACUUACGCUAAUACCGCAUACGACCUACGGGUGAAAGCAGGGGAUCUUCGGACCUUGCGCGAUUGAAUGAGCCGAUGUCGGAUUAGCUAGUUGGCAGGGUAAAGGCCCACCAAGGCGACGAUCCGUAGCUGGUCUGAGAGGAUGAUCAGCCACACUGGAACUGAGACACGGUCCAGACUCCUACGGGAGGCAGCAGUGGGGAAUAUUGGACAAUGGGCGCAAGCCUGAUCCAGCCAUACCGCGUGGGUGAAGAAGGCCUUCGGGUUGUAAAGCCCUUUUGUUGGGAAAGAAAAGCAGCAGGUUAAUACCCCGCUGUUCUGACGGUACCCAAAGAAUAAGCACCGGCUAACUUCGU